AACGACUCUCGACAACGGAUAUCUCGGCUCUCGCAUCGAUGAAAAACGUAGCGAAAUGCGAUACUUGGUGUGAAUUGCAAAAUCCCGUGAACCAUCGAGUCUUUGAACGCAAGUUGCGCCCGAAGCCAUUAGGCUGAGGGCACGUCUGCCUGGGUGUCACGC
RNAcentral lists this ribosomal RNA (162 nucleotides) under Heracleum hemsleyanum. RNAcentral's name for it is "5.8S ribosomal RNA". It matches the Rfam family "5.8S ribosomal RNA". From Rfam's summary of the family: 5.8S ribosomal RNA (5.8S rRNA) is a component of the large subunit of the eukaryotic ribosome. Lineage: Eukaryota; Viridiplantae; Streptophyta; Magnoliopsida; Apiales; Apiaceae. The record is from RNAcentral.